GGUGCUGGUCACCCACCCCAUCGUGUGCCGUGUCGGCCUUCACAGGUGUUAGCUAACAGUCUAUACGGGGGAUCUUUGUGUUUAUUGAGAAAAGGAACCCUGCGAUCAUCGCCGGCCGAUUGACUGCUCUGUGCUCGUAAUUGGGGGGGCAGACCCGCGUGCGUGCGUACCCAUUGAUCAGUCUGCAGAGAUGCUGGGUUCUCUCACCGUCAUGCCUUGAACAGAGAGAGAGGGCGUUAUGGGUAAUCGAUAACACGGGAGAGGCAGACGCGUGUCGCCCUCGUAAGAGUGAGCCAAGACCAGAUACAUUGGAACUAAUCAACUCAUCAAUAUACAGACUGUUCAAGGGUCGUCAGUGUUAGAAUAUGGGGUGGGGGGGGGGGGUUUACCGGAGCUCGUCAGUGAGGCAUGCCUCGAUACAGUUUGUCCAGAACGGUGCAGGAGUUGAUGCGGGUCCUUGUGCUCAUUUGAGCUCAUCAGUCAGCCAUGGCCAGAGACAGACCGCCAAUUGAAUUUUAGAGCAAUAAUUAGAUUUCUCAUAUUCAUUCGGGAUCGUCAGUGAGUCAUGCCCAGCGACAGGAUCUCGGGCUCCUAACGAGGGCCUGGAGAUCGUGACGUCACUGCCACUCCACGUGCGGUCACUCGCGAUGACGCGGUCCGGCUGAUGCUGUUGCUGCUGCUGUUGAUGUUGUUGGUUUUGCUGCUGCUGAUCGUGUUGAUGACGUUGUUUAUUAAUCCUUUCAGCAUGUCAUCUGCACGCUGUGCAGGACCACCUCUUGAUAGCAAAUAAAGCGAAGGAGGAGGAGACGUCACCGAUGGCACGGACCCUUGUCACGGCGUUCUCCAGGCAGACGGCACUGAACCCCAGAUCCUUCCCGGGUCCCCCCUUGGCCCCCCUUCCCCACUCCCCAUUGUGGGGGGGGGGGGGCGUUCUCGGCUCCCGACGCCGAACCCACCAAUUAACGAGCGCACUGCCAAUUAAUAGGAGCACGUGGUGCCGGUAAUUGGGUCCUCCAGGCAAGAAAACAGUUCCGUGGCGGAAGCGAUUAAUUGUAGGUGACAAAGCGUCCCUCGGCUCCGUAUCUACAUGUCGUCGCGUGCGGGUCACGUGACCGUGAAGUGGACCUAGCCUGGCACAAGAAGGGAUGAUGUCACCAUCUCUAGAUCGAUAUUAAUUUUUAAAUGUCAACCUGCUCCCACAUCCUGGAACUCCCUUCCCCCAGACCCCCGUGCUAUUAGUCCCUGUUAAAGUUCAGGCUGAAGACGUCACUCUCCUCCUGCCUUUGACUGACUGCCUCUCUCUCUCUGCGGAAUAAACAGUCCACUGUUUAUGUGCAGAA
This is a non-coding RNA of Petromyzon marinus (sea lamprey), 1340 nucleotides long. The record is from RefSeq and is a predicted model, not a curated record. NCBI's taxonomy places the organism in Eukaryota, Metazoa, Chordata, Hyperoartia, Petromyzontiformes, Petromyzontidae.